Molecule: ribosomal RNA, 451 nt
Filed under: uncultured bacterium
Lineage: Bacteria
Description: partial 16S ribosomal RNA
Rfam family: Bacterial small subunit ribosomal RNA
Source: RNAcentral
GUGGGGAAUAUUGGACAAUGGGCGGAAGCCUGAUCCAGCCAUGCCGCGUGUGUGAAGAAGGCCUUUUGGUUGUAAAGCACUUUAAGCGAGGAGGAGGCUCCUUUAGUUAAUACCUAAAGUGAGUGGACGUUACUCGCAGAAUAAGCACCGGCUAACUCCGUGCCAGCAGCCGCGGUAAUACGGAGGGUGCAAGCGUUAAUCGGAUUUACUGGGCGUAAAGCGCGCGUAGGUGGCCAAUUAAGUCAAAUGUGAAAUCCCCGAGCUUAACUUGGGAAUUGCAUUCGAUACUGGUUGGCUAGAGUAUGGGAGAGGAUGGUAGAAUUCCAGGUGUAGCGGUGAAAUGCGUAGAGAUCUGGAGGAAUACCGAUGGCGAAGGCAGCCAUCUGGCCUAAUACUGACGCUGAGGUACGAAAGCAUGGGGAGCAAACAGGAUUAGAUACCCUAGUAGUCC